RNAcentral lists this ribosomal RNA (214 nucleotides) under uncultured bacterium. RNAcentral describes it as "partial 16S ribosomal RNA". It matches the Rfam family "Bacterial small subunit ribosomal RNA", at positions 125 to 334 of the family's 1533-position model. The record is from RNAcentral.
CCUGCCUGGUAGCGGGGGAUAACUAUUGGAAACGAUAGCUAAUACCGCAUAACAGUAGAUAUCGCAUGAUAUGUGCUUGAAAGGUGCAAUUGCAUCACUACCAGAUGGACCUGCGUUGUAUUAGCUAGUUGGUGAGGUAACGGCUCACCAAGGCAACGAUACAUAGCCGACCUGAGGGGGUGAUCGGCCACACUGGGACUGAGACACGGCCCAG